GAUGAAGAACGUAGCGAAAUGCGAUACGUAAUGUGAAUUGCAGAUUUCAGUGAAUCAUCGAAUCUUUGAACGCACAUUGCGCCCCCUGGUAUUCCGGGGGGCAUGCCUGUUCGAGCGUCAUUUCACCACUCAAGCCUCGCUUGGUAUUGGGCAACGCGGUCCGCCGCGUGCCUCAAAUCGACCGGCUGGGUCUUCUGUCCCCUAAGCGUUGUGGAAACUUUCGCUAAAGGGUGUUCGGGAGGCUACGCCGUAAAACAACCCCAUUUCUAAGGUUGACCUCGGAUCAGGUAGGGAUACCCGCUGAACUUAAGCAUAUCAAUAAGCGGAGGA
This 330-nucleotide unclassified non-coding RNA is filed under the name soil metagenome. Its description in RNAcentral is "partial contains 5.8S ribosomal RNA, internal transcribed spacer 2, and large subunit ribosomal RNA". The stretch from base 1 to 120 matches the Rfam family "5.8S ribosomal RNA", at positions 35 to 154 of the family's 154-position model. The record is from RNAcentral.